GAGCUAUUGGAACUAGGACUCUUCCCACACUUAUACCGGUCAAGUUCACAUAGUACAAAGACGGUCGGUGUGGGUUCUUAAGAAGGGGGGUAAAUUUAAUGUUCUUGGGUUGGCCCAAGGGACCAAGUUUGAGUGAUCCGGAGAAAUAAUAGGAUUUGAAACUUGGUAAACAAUAUGAGAAUACACCUGAGUAGAGUGAUGCGGAUUGUGAGAGCAGUGACAUGGAGCCCCGGCCCAAGCCCAAUAACCCUUGAGGCGGAAUUGAGCUCCCGGAUAUGGCAUUGAUGCACCCAAAAGAAUAAUUCGGUAUAACAUCCGUGCCUAGUCUAAGAACAUCACGAGACAACGUAGCAUAGAAUGAUGAGGCGCCACCAUAAGAUUGGUUAAAAAAGCAAGCACCCGGUGCACCAGCGGGGCAAGAUUGUCGCCGGACUUGUGUACAUUGGGGUGCUGAACAUUCCGUGGACCCAUAAGUCGACGACGUGUUCGGGGCAAACAUGGUAGAGGUGCACCCAGUGCAGCCACUG
RNAcentral lists this long non-coding RNA (527 nucleotides) under Nicotiana tabacum (common tobacco). RNAcentral's name for it is "long non-coding RNA (NTAB_LNC011663)". The record is from RNAcentral. Lineage: Eukaryota; Viridiplantae; Streptophyta; Magnoliopsida; Solanales; Solanaceae.